Molecule: long non-coding RNA, 14236 nt
Organism: Patiria miniata (bat star)
Lineage: Eukaryota; Metazoa; Echinodermata; Asteroidea; Valvatida; Asterinidae
Exons: 2
Source: RefSeq, a predicted model, not a curated record
UGUGCGGACCUGCGAAAUUUAGGGCGUCAGCAGCGAUCUGUCUUGGUUUGUGUGUCGCUUUCCAGGUGGUCGUUUGUUGUGAUUUUGUGCCCGUCUUUUGUCUGGGUUUUCUGGCAAGAAUAUCUUGAAAUUUGUUCCCAGGUUGAAAUUCAGAGUGGUCAGCUGGUCUUCGACAUUCCGUUUCCGUCAUGUCCGUGUCGUCUAGUCGGUCAACAUUCUGGUUUGAAGUUGAAUUUUGAUUUGUUUUCAACAGACAGUUAAGGCAACACAGAAUCAUGAUGAAAAACCUCAACGACAGCGUCUAUUCGAUUUCCACGCCGCGUAUUUCUGCACUAAAUAAACUCGACGAACAAAGUCAGCUUGAAACAACAUGUUACUUUCUUCAUUUCUUCAAAAGACUUGUGUUUUCAUGGUCAAUUGACUCACUGACUGAACUUUGCGAAAACAAACAUUAUGACAAAGACUGUCAUGACUGUUUUCUGGCACUCAGUUCAUGCAGGCGAUUUUUUUAUUUGUUUUACUUUAGUUUUUGUAGGUCUUGGACUUGGCGCACAUCACAAUUUUGCUUAUUAACUAUACAAAAAACAAAGACGGGCCCGGCCUAUCGUGUUUUCUCCAGCACAGCGGGUUAUAAUUUUGACGGUUGUAGUUUGGCACAUUGGCUAUGUCGUUUUCUCUACAUUUUGACAAUCUUCAAGAAGUACUAUAGGUUCAGUUGACUUGGUGAAAGAAGUGUUAUUCCCGAUUCCUCAACUUGUCCACUGCUAAAGUGCUAUUGCUCAAAACAAGAAUUUCAAGGCAUGGCUGGUCUUCGAAUUCAAGAGACCCAAGAAUAUAAAUGAUAUUAAGUGAUAUGACGCAAAUUGCAGCCACAGACUAUGACGAAGCCAGCCAAGUAAGAAGUCAAAGUGAUAGUUCUUCAAAGUAAAAAUUCAUUUCAAAGAGCAUGAAGCAUCAUCAAGUACCUUCAGUGGUUGUUUACAUUAUGUUAAGACACUUGACGUGAUAGUGGAAGCAAAAUUCAUUCGAUUCUGGAAAUUCGUUUUGAUUUUGAAAUAUUGUACAAAUGGAAGUGAAAGAAAUCUGAAAGAGAAAGAGUACGCUCACUUGAAAGUGAUUCAGCAAAGUGAUCCUGAACAAUCAUCAAUCUUUGUAUACUGUGUCAACAUUAUUCCCACCCAGAAGGGAAGGGGUUUUUGUGUUUGUUUCUUCCUUCAUCUUCUAUCAAGUCCAGGGGAAAAUGCUACAAGUCUACCUGUAAAGUCACUCAUGAGAAAAGGAAUUCACACAAGGCAGGCCUGACACAAGAUGGAGAGUCUGGAAUUUCAAGAUUCUGAUCAAGAUGUCUAAACACACGGUGCACAAAUUCAUCAAAUUUGUAAAAAAUCGUUCCAAUUUGACUUGAGGAAAAAGAAAUGUUCACCAAAACUAUGGUUCGGAAAGAAAUCUAAGAAGAAAGAAGAAACAAGUGAAAGAAAAUAUGCCAAAAUCCUUAAAGAUUGUUUUUGACAUUCUGGUUGUGUCUCCAAACGGCAAAUCCUGUAAUGGAGUUUUAACUAUUUCAUGAGGUGCUAGGCUUGGGGCGUUUUCUUCCUUCCCUUUUCAAGUGUUUCGUAUGUAGUUCCGAAUGCUGAUGUAUGAAGCGCGAGUGGUUCACUACCGCAACCUGUCAAGGAAUUCCCCUUAGAGGUCCCAGGUCACACUGCUAGGAAGUUCAAGCUUGAUGUUCACUGGUGUUAGGACCCAGCUACACAGGUUUCUUUUCUAUGUUCACACCAAAGUUAAAAGUUUUCUUGCCAAGCAUUUUUUAAAAUUAUACUUAAAACCAUCUUUGUGGUUUAGUACUAACCUUCAACAGAGUUAUCAGAUCGUACAUCUACUUGUAUUUCUUGGAAACUUCUGCUUUGUCGUCGUGUUCCCCCCCCCCCCCCUUUUUUUUCCAGUUAUAUUUUUUUAUGUUUUAGAUACACUUGGAUUUGGGCUACUCAAGCAAGCGCUGUGGGUAAAACAAGAAAGACCACCAUAGACGUAGCAAUGGAUUGCCGCUGCGGUUACAGACCAAGCAAGCACGUGUCGACAUUCGGUUAUUUCGUCGCCAUGUAGGGCCACGCCAAACAGGUUUCCCUCUGUAAAGUACAAACACGCUGCAACAUAGUAUCUGUUAAGGAAAAUUGGAUAAUUCUUGCCGUGCAUAUUUCUGUCUGAAAUAUUUUUAUGGAGAUCUGACAACAUGCCGGUAUAGGAACAUCGCUAAAACAAGAGCUUUGACCAUUGUUUACAUGAGGUUGACAUGAAGCAAACAUCAGUUCAAUGGGGCCAUGCUUAGCAGUUCUUUAAAUUGUAAACUACAUUGUAGACACUCGUGGUAAACACAUUUUAAUUUGUAAUGAGCGCUCGUGCCAUACCCUCGGUGUUUCUUCCUCCCAUUUUUUCCCCCAACAAAUCUCAAAUAUGUAGGUAAUCUGCCUUGCAACUUCUGUCACGGAAGACAUCUCGUUGAACUUCUCGUUGAAGAUCUAUCUUGCUCGUGUACGCUGCGCAUUCCAAUCAUAAUGGUAAAGUAAGCUGUUGUAAAGUAAACAGAAAAAGAUAAUUACAUGAAGUAGAUAAAAAAUGAUUUAACUAACCAUAAAAAGUGGAAAUGUAUGCAUUCUAGGGUUUCCUUUUUCCCCAUUUUUAAGUAUUCAUGUAGAUCGGUGAGCCCAAAGACGUGUUCUUAAGCCGUUGCUUACUGUGCUGUGCCAUUGUACUUGAAGCCGAGUCUUCAGCGUGUGGAAGUUGUUUGAAGAAAGAUACCUCUAACAGGUUUCUCGUAAUCCAUUAACGUGUGAAUGCGUUUUGAAAUUUCAAUCUUAAUCGCCUUUCAAAGUGGAUCACAAAGAUGAAUGCACCAAGCUUAAAAUCCGGGAAUAUUGUGAACGUUUGUUAUUUGGGCAUUGAAAAGUUACAUGUCUUUGCUUUAAAUAAUUUGGGUCUUUUGUAAGCGGAAACAAAAUACUACAAAACUUCACUCCUAAACUGACAGUCCAUUGGAACACUUGGAUCAGCUAUUACUUUUGUUGGGGAAUGUGGUGUUUUGUGUUUUUCUCCUGGUUUCCAUCCAGUCUGUAGAUCUACAGCUUGCAAGAUAAGAUACACAUGCUUUCCAUGCUGUACUACGUAGCUCGUCAUACCUGCGCAAAGUUCAAGUCAAAGUGCAAGAAAUCGUGCAGAAUGAUCAGUCACCCGAAAGAAAAGGACAGAGCCAGCAGGUUUCUUUAUAAUAUCAAGAAGAUUUGGCUAUUCUUAGUAAUUACUCGUAUUCAUAAGAUACAACAAUGCCAUGGCAAAAAUAUAAAAAUUAUCAGUUUUGGGGAAUUUGUAAAAACUUGAUUGAUUCAAUAAACAGGAACACUAAAUACACUAGAUUUAAAGUGCAACUUUUUUUCACACAUCUCAAAUGAAAUCAAAAGAAUUCAACAGUUGCUUGUUAAAAAUUGACGUGGUACACUAACAAAAGAAUUACAGUGAUUAGGUUAGGGCUUCAUAACUUGCUUUGCUUUUUCCCAAUGUUAAUCAUAAUCUUGCAGUUAUCACGAGGCCGUCCUCAUUGAGGUCUUCAUGAAGAAAUUGGCAUGGAUUGACAAUCGCUCCUUCACCAGACCACCUGACCACCCUUCUGUUUUCACGCACCCAUCUUUUAAUAGAAUGAGACAAGACUGUGUUGCUUUCUUCAUCUACCACUUUCUCCGAUUAGAAGCUUUUGGGUGAACCUGUUUUCGCUGUGACUUUUUUAAUUUUUGUAUUUCACCAACGCCAUCCUUAAUGUUUUUCAAACUUAACUUCUUUUUGAACUGUAGUUCACUCUUGUGAAUUUGCUUACCUCUACUUGUGUCCAUGAUUGUUUUCGAACUCCACAAGCGUGUAGGAUGUUUUGUUUUUCCCCUGCUUUUUUUUUGCAAUAACCCAGGUUCCUCAUGAUCUUCACUGCCGUGCUUAGACCUCCGCCUAUCAACUCAUGUAUGACUACCGUAUGUGUGUCGCACUCCUUUUUCACAAUUACUCCUGCGUUAUACAAGCAGCCUUCUAGGUGUCAAAUCAUGUGAAUUCCCUGCACUUCCCAAGUUUUUGUCGGUCAUGGUAAAAUACACAUCUGUCUGUCUUGCUGAUGUAAGUUUUUAAUUCAUUUUGUUCUCAAACACUUAAAAAAGCUUCCAUUUCUAGAACCGCUUUUUCUCGUGACAUUCGUUGUUUACAUUUACUUGAGUUAAACCCAUUCACAUCACAACCUACUAAAUAAAUGGUUGGGCUUUUUGUUGAAAUAUAGAGAUUGAAAUGUCUGCACAUUGCAUUUAACAAGUUUGUUUGCAACAUUUUGUUAUUCUCAAAAUUGGUCUCAAAUUUCCCAGUGUACAUGCAUGCAUUUCUAUCAGACACUUUGUUCUGAUUAGCAUAUUGACUGGUUGCUUCUUUAACACAAUGGAUUUAUUUUCAAUGAAUAUUAACCACGUGUAGGCGCUGUUUGGUAUGGGUGGGGGGAGAGACUUUUGUUUGCAUUUUGUCGUUAUUACAGCUUUGGAAGCGAAUGCACAGCAUCGUGGGACAUCGUCCUAGCAAGCUGAUUCAUGCAACUUCUUUGAAACUGCAACACAGUGUGUCCGCAUUGGCUACAAUUUGUCCAUCCCACUAAAUCAAGAAAUGUUCUGCUCAAAUUUUCUUCACCAUCUCUUCAUUGUUGCUGCUCAUCAAUGACAACACUUACUGUAAGGUCAUGUUAACCCUCUGGCUUCAUAGAAAUUUUCACUACAAUUCAACACGUUAAGAAAUACACCAAAUUGUUCCUUCUGCAUCAUCAAAAGUAAAAAUGACAUCAACUGCAUGAAAAAAAUUCUUAAUUUAGAAUGGUCAUAUUGCCAACAGUAGCAUAGCCAGUAAUGGAGGAUUGAUUAGUCAUUCAAAAUAUGCCUUGGCCUUUGUUUGCCUUCGUAUGGUUUCUCCCACUUUUAUUUGCAUUCAUUUAGGUAACUAAGGACUUGGAAUCUGCAGGUAUCAGACUUUUAUAUCACUGUUUUAGCUUGUGGCAAAUCAGGCGCUGCACAUGUUUCUAACAAGGUACCGUUAACGUUGAAUGUUUGUUAAUUGCUGGUUGUAGUCGUUGCUUUUGAAAGUUUUGGGGAUCUCUUAGUUGAUUUUUGUUAAAAUUAUAUUGCCUAAGCUGUUGCAUGUAAUUUUAUAUUUUGUAGUGUUGGUAAAGAGUCUUUAAGACAUUUGGCAUAUUGCCAUGGGGAGGAUUGUUGGGCUAGCGUGGGUAGGGUAAUCUGUUCUUCCGUUCCAGGGAUUGUGAAACUCCUCGGCCCCCGUGAAAGCUUUGUAACUGUCCGCGGUUAGCUGAUCGUACAACAUGAAUUGACAACGGCAUUCUUUCAUGAGUUGAAGGUCUUAAUAUACAGGCAUAACAGGCAAGUUCUGUGUAUGAUAGAUUACCUAGUAAAUUUAAGGCUUUUUUAUUUUGUUGAAUGUUGCUUUGUCUUGUAGAACGAUGAGAAUGUUGACAAAUAUGCACUCAGAAAAAAAAAAAGACUAAUGAACAUGAAUACUUCUCCGGAAAAGAUUAUUCUUUUUAUAAGCCUGUCUGUGGACUACUGUUUGUUUUGAGAUACUGGGGGGUUACCUUAGGGCAAGUCGAUUUUUUUUUUAGCUUUCCUUUCCAGAUUUUGCCCAUGAAGAAACUGGCCACAAUUCCUGUGAAAGACACAAGAGUUCCUAUGCAGAUGUCCUAAGAAUCUACUCAAGCCCUCACGAUCCCACUCGGUCCUUGACAUGAACACCAUCCAAGUAGCUACGUCUUCAAUUCUGUGCAAUCCUUUGUUACAAGUCAAGUUUUCAAGAGUGUCGUAGCCUUUGCGCAUAAAUGGAACUGUCAAACCGGUCCUACUUGGCAUGUAUUCACAAGACGUGAGUUUCUCCGAUAAAAUUUUCUCUGUUGAUUGCCUUUUGAGGAAAAUUCAACUAUUUGUAAAGAGGAAAUCAAGUCUCUCAGCUUCUCAUACUUACGUUGCAAGUUUUCUGGUACAUUAGGUCCUUUUUUUUCUCCCCCUGCUGGCUGCUAGCAUGUAGAUUCCUUAUAUGUCCGGUUUUGCCCGGAAUAAUUUCACUGGUGUUAUUAAUUUACUGUUGCAUCUAAGUUGCACUUUGAUUUAAAUGAGAGCACAAGUGACCUUGUCAGCAUAAACAAUACUGCAAACAAUGUACAAGUAGGGCAGUGUGAUGGGUUUGGGGUAGGUUUUUUUUCUAUUUUUAUUACAGAAAGGUGUCCCUGAAUAUGUCUGGGCAACCAAGAGGAACAGAUAAACCGGAAACGGGCUUAACGUGUGCGCUGUGUCGUCAAAAAUAACUGCGGUAUGCUUGAUGUAUUAAGAAUGUUAUCCUAUAGUGAAAUCACUGCGUAAUUAAUACUUGGUGUUUGUGUAGAUGUGACAAUUUUGAUAAGUGGACGAAUGACGUUUUGUUGAAAAUACGUGAUCGUGUAAACCGUGACCAAAAAAAUGUAAUGUGAAAGGUAAUGAAUUUAGGGGAUGUGAUUGAAGGUUAUUAGCAGUUGUACUAAGUGUAAAUAUAUCAGCGAAUUCAAUGAGAAUGACUGUGCUUUAGGAGAAAAAUUGUGAAAGAAUAUACAUACGCAAAAUAAUUUUAAAUCCAGUCACUGUGAAGUUAACGGAUCAAUUCUGUGAUUAUGUUUGUGAUAGACUGAAAGGGUAGUCGAGGGGCUUUCGUAGGGCAAACUUUUUUCUUUUAAUUCUAUAAGUACACAGGUUAAACGAAUUUCCCGAGGUGGAAACUAAAUCCUGGAAAAGUACUCCGAACGUUUUGAGGUGAAAAGGACAGGUGUAUGGUGGAAAGUUUGUGGUAGGAUAAUUUGUUUUGGGGAAAUUGUACUUGCCAAGAACUUGUGAAAAUGAUUUAUCUGAUACUUUGUAACAAUUUUGAAGGGCCAUGUGUACCUAACAGCCAUGUGAGGGAUGGGUAUGUGUGCAUGGGGGUGGGAAAUGUUUACCUGUGCUUGCCUUGCAGAAACUGUUGACAUGCGGCAGUUUUUGGAUAGCGUUUGUACUACAUUUGGUAUCAAGCCGGACUGACCAUAUCUUGCCGAUUUUAAAUGCGACCCGAAGAAUGCAUUCUUGCUUCGUUCAUUUGGUAGGAUCAACUCAUUUACAAUCCUUUUUUUUUUAAAACGCUCGUAGAAAGCUAGCUUGCUUAAACUGCAUUGAAGUCUCUAAAAAUGCAUGUGAAAGAACAUCUUUUGUUGAGGAAACUGUUUUGUGUAAUAGAUCAUCCUUAAAAAGCUUUAAAACGUUUUUUACCCGCGGAUGCAUGAUUUCAUAAUGUUGCGGCGUUGCUAUUGCCUGUUGGGAGGGAUUGGGGAAGAAAUUCUUGUUUGUUUAAAGAGCUACAGAUUCAGAGCCAAGCCUUACUCCCAUAGUGAUGUGGCAGCUUCUAAGGAGGUCUCUCAGCCAUGGUCAUCUUGACUUGCAAGCUCCUGGUUCCAAGAAAGGUUCCACUGGAAAUUCCAAAAUCUCCAUGUUCUGGUAUAGUACUGCUUAAAAAGUAUUUGAGUGCAUGGCUUUUUUGUGCUUUUGCAUUUUGGGGAGCCUGUAUUUUUCCCAACAGAUGCAGUAAAGAGUCCUCCUUGCAUUGUGUAUCCAUGGGAGUGAAGGCUUAAGCUACAUGUUUCAUAUCUGGAUUUGCCAUCUAAAAUAACCAAGGACUAGCAAGUGUAUGUGAAAAGACUGCACAUUUAUGGAUUUUUACGUAAAAGACCAAGCUUUCAUCUGAACUAAAUGUGAGGGGGUGCUAAAAGAACUGACAAGUGAGGGAGAAAUCAAUUCCACUGUUCGCUGGAAAGGACUUGUGAAAUGCGUGUGGGAAUGAGACGGAUACAGAACAAUGUUCAAGGGAAUAAGCAGCCUGGCUGUUGACUCUGUCACUUGUGGUAUCUUCUUGCUAUGAGAGAUCACCACACUAUUCUGGGAUGCACAGAGCAAGCAUCAAGGAGAUCUUAAAACAGCAGGAGGAAAGCACAAGUGAGAAUAGUAGAGGACUCAGUCAGGCUGGACACAGCUAGCCAAGGUCGGACAGUUUGCUAAACGGGAGUUCACAAGGCUGACUGGUGUGGGGCAUUAGUGGGGAUGGAGACGCGGCUGACUAGCUAGGCUGAACAUAGGUGAAUGAGGCAUCUGGAUGGGGGUGACUGGAUAACGUGUGGGGGACAAGGCAUUGGGAGUGGCUGUACGAGGAGCAUUGACGGGGUAGACAGACUAGUCGGGCUUGGGGGACGACGGUGGAGACUGACGGAGCAGACGGUGGUUCAAGGGGACAGAGUGGUUUGACGGGAAACGGGACAUCGUUGGCGUGACAGCUGGACGAAUGGCAGGAGGGAGCAACGUGACAGGACGGGACUAGGAUGGCGGGAUGGUUUCUUGGGACUCUUUUGGGAGGCUGCUGGACGGGACUGACUGGACGGGCUGAGGAGACGGGUCAGCUGGACGGGACGGGACUAGGCUAGCGGGACUAGACGGGCCGAGGAGACGCGACGGCAGGACGUGAUGGGACAAGGACGGGAUGGAUUCUUGGGAGGCUGCUGGACGGGACUGACUGGAUGGGCUAAGGAGACGGGUCGACGGGACGUGACGGGACUAGGCUGGCCGGAGGGAGUGUUUCUGCAGAGACUGCCGGACGGGACUGAUGACUGGACGGGCUGAGGAGACGUGACGGGACUAGGCUGCUGUACGGGCCGAGGAAUCGGGACUAGGCUGACGGGAUGGAUUCUGCAGAGGCUGCUGGACGGGUUGAGGAGACGCGAAUGGCUUGAUGGUGGGAGACAAGACGAGGAUGGGUUGAGGCAGAGAGGAUGGUGAGUGGAUGCAGUUGAGCUGGAGUGAUCUUGAUGGGUGGUGAUUUGGCUUGAUGGCUUUCAGCAUGGUCGUGGACGUCGGGAGUGUUGGUUCUUCAGGAUAUGUACUAUUUGUUUGAGAAUGUUGGUGUUGGAAUGUUGUGUAAGUUGUUGACAGGUACUGCCACUGAGUGGCUGUAGUUAUUAGACAAAAAUAGGUUCUUGUAAAUCUCUCGCACAUGAUUACACUGCCAUUCAUAUACUCGAGCAAUUUCUUGGCCUAAAUCAUGAAUUGGCCCAAAACGUGUAUUGAAAUGUAAAUCUCAAAAGGUUUCUUUUAUUAUGUUGAAAGUUUGGUUUUCGCGAAAAGUAUAAUAAAAAUACAUGUACGAAUGAAAAUAUACGAAAUUAUGACAACGUCAUAAAUGUCAUGAAAAUGUAGCACUUGUUGCCAACAUCAAAAUUAUGUUGAACACUGUUAAUUCACUUAUCUUGUGAAAUUUGGUGAAUACAUGUUUACACAUGAAAUUGAAACACAAUACAUGUAUAGGGAUAAAAUGGUUGCAUUCGCUGAUUGGUUUUACUAGGAAAUAAUUAUGAACAGUUUUCAGACAAGCAAAACUUGUUUAACAAAAUUAACAGCCUUUAUGAAAUGAAGUUAAAUUCUAAAUCUGUGAGACAUUUUCCUAAAUGUUGAGAAAGUUAAGAAUUGAGUGCAUGUUGAGAACUAAGUCGUGGAACUGAAGGUGAAAGAAGUUAUGGGUCAAUUCAGAUAGCUGCAUUUGUUUUAGUAUGUGUCGUGUAAAAAUUACCGCAAAUCUGAUUACUUUGUGUAACGGCAUAGUUGAGCAAGUAUGUUGAGUGUGAAGAUGGAAAAAUUACAUAUGAAAUCAAUUUUGGCAAAUGGAGUAUUGAAUGCAACUCGUUUGAAAACAAAAGAUCUUGAGAUUUGAACACAUAAAAUGAAAGCAAUAUUGAGGGAGCUCAAAUUAGUAAAAAAAACUGAGAAAAGAUAAGCGCUUGAAUUGCUCCCAUGUUCUUCUGAGCAAUAAAAGAGUAAGCAUAAGCAUUGUAGACUUCAUCCCAACUUCCUUCAAUAUAAAAUGUUAUCGUAUCCUGGGCAUCAAAAGGGCCCUUCUUCCAAAAGAAAAACAUGUAAGUUUUUCAACUUUCUAUUCACAUCUUGAAGUUUGAAAUCACCUACCAACAUGCCAUUUAAAGAUGGUGGUUUUCUAGAUAUAAGUUAUCUUGAAUGAUAAACAUCUGCUCUUUAAUUUUUUUGUGGAAAUGCCAAAAGUUCAAGUUAGGAAUUUGUUGUACGUAUCUCCCAAUAUAUUUUAUUGCUUUGUAAACUAUUUUGCACCUAGUUGCAUCUUUAGUAUUCAAUUAACUUUCAAAUAAGCUCUUUAAAAAAAAAAAAGAACAGCUUUUAAAUAACAUCAUCGGAGAAAUUUGAAUUUUGAAACAAAAAGUUUUUAACAUUGCAAAAUACAAGAAGGUAAAAAUCAACAAUUCCUUCUUUGGGAAAUGCCUUGGGGAAAAAAUGUCUUUAAGUGAAGAAAUUGUGUUGAGAGUAAGCUUUUCUUGAAAAUCAUAUUGUCUUUUUUUCCAGUUGUAAUCGCGUUUCCAAAAUUUCAUUGUAAGAUGAAGUGUGGCUUAAGACAAUUUGUAAUUUUUGAUUAAAGUUGCAUUUGGGUGGAUUCGGCCGGCUAGAAGGGGUGAUGAGGAGGCCGGUUUGCAAAGCAAAACUUAACUGAUUGUAAUUGUCAAAAAAAUUGAUGUAAAAUAACCCAAAAAAGGUUUCUUGAAUUUGUGAAACGGUAUAGUUGUUCAGUGUGAUGAUGGAAGAAAUUAACGAUUUUUUUUUUAAAAUUGGUCUGUACGAACAUGAUGAAAUCAAUUUGAGCAAAUGGAGUAUAAAUACAGCUUGUGUGGAAAAAAAAAUCUUGAGAUUUGAACACAUGAAAUGAAAGUAAUAUUGACAGAACUCAAAAAAAUGAGGAAAUAUAAAAAGCAUUUGAAAUGAAUGUUCUUCUGAUUAGCACUAAAAAAAGUAAGGGUUGUAGACUUCAUCCCAACUUCCUUUAAUUUAAGAGUUUAUCGUAUCCUCGGCACGAAAAAGGCCCUUUUCCGAAAUUGCAUUGUCAAAUUUUGAAAACAUGUACAUGUACAUGUAUUAAGGCCGAGUAAGACAUUGUAAGAUGGUAAUUUUAUAGACACCUGUACUUCUGUGAGAUAGACAUAUGAUUUUUUUUGUUGGAAAAUUUCAAAUCUCAGUUAAGGAAUAAGCUUUUUAAAUCCUUCAAUUACCUCGUGUACUUUAUCCUUGAAAGGCCAGUUUUAAAAUGUAUUCGGGGGUGUUCUGGAGCAGCACUGGCUGACAUAAAUUGUAUUUCUCAUUGGAAACUACCCAGUAUCACUUUGUAAACUACAUAUUUUGUACAUCUAGUUUGCAUCUUGAAUAUUCAAUUAACUUUCAGCGAGAAAACAGAGAAAUUUGAAUUUUGAAAAAAAACAAACACAUUUUUUUUUUUUUUUUUAACUGUUGCAAAAUACAAAAAUGUAAAUCAACGAUUCCUGCUUUGGGAAAUGCCUGGGGAAAAUGUGUCUUUGAAUGAAGAAAAUGUGUUGAGUAAGCCUUUCUUUAAAAUCAAACUGUCUUUUUUUCCAAUUGUAAUCGCGUUUCCAGAAUUCCAUUGUAAGAUGAAGUGUGGCUUAAGACAAUUUGUAAUUUUUGAUUAAAGUUGCAUGUGGGUGGAUUCGGCCGGCUAAAAGGGGUGAUGAGGAGGCCGGUUUGCAAAGCAAAACUUAACUGAUUGUAAUUGUCAAAAAAUUGAUGUAAAAUAACCCAAAAAAGGUUUCUUGAAUUUGUGUAACGGUAUAGUUGUUCAGUGUGAUGAUGGAAGAAAUUAACGAUUUUUUUUGAAAAUUGGUCUGUAUGUUCGAACGUGAUGAAAUCAAUUUGAGCAAAUGGAGUAUAAAUACAGCUUGUCAUGUGUGGAAAAAAAAAAUCUUGAGAUUUGAACACAUAAAAUGAAAGUAAUAUUGACAGAACUCAAACAAAUGAGGAAACAUAAAAACAUUUGAAAUGAACGUUAUUCUGAUUAGCACUAAAAAGAGUAAGGGUUGUAGACUUCAUCCCAACUUCCUUUUUAUCGUAUCCUUGGCACGAAAAAAGGCCCUUUUCCGAAAUUGCAUUGUCAAAUUUUGAAAACAUGUACAUUGUACAUGUAUUAAGACCGAGUAAGACAUUGUAAUAUGGUAAUUUUAUAGAACUAUACUUUUGCGAGAUAGACAUCUGAAUUUUUUUUGUUGGAAAAUUUCAAAUCUCAGUUAUGGAAUAAGCUUUUUAAAUCCUUUAAUUACCUCAUGUACUUUAUCCUUGAAAGACCUGUUUUAAAAUGUGUUUGGGGGUGUUCUGAAGCAGCACUGGCUGACAUAAAUUUCAUUUCUCAUUGGAAACUACCCAGUAUCACUUUGUAAACUACAUAUUUUGUACAUCUAGUUGCAUCUUGAAUAUUCAAUUAACUUUCAGCGAGAAAUCAGAGAAAUUUGAAUUUUGAAAAAAAACCACCUUUUUAUUUUUAACUGUUGCAAAAUACAAAAAUGUAAAUCAACGAUUCCUGCUUUGGGAAAUGCCUGGGGAAAAUGUGUCUUUGAAUGAAGAAAAUGUGUUGAGUAAGCCUUUCUUUAAAAUCAAACUGUCUUUUUUUCCAGUUGUAAUCGCGUUUCCAAAAUUCCAUUGUAAGAUGAAGUGUGGCUUAAGACAAUUUGUAAUUUUUGAUUAAAGUUGCAUGUGGGUGGAUUCGGCCGGCUAGAAGGGGUGAUGAGGAGGCCGGUUUGCAAAACAAAACUUAGCUGAUUGUAAAUGUAAAAACAAUAUGGUAAAAAGAACCCUACAAACGGUUUCUUUAAUUGGUUAGUUCGGAAUAAAAAGGUGCAUACAUGUGGGUGGAAUCGGCCAGCUAUAAGGGGUGAUGAGGAGGCUGGUUAUAAAAUGUAAAAUAUCCGGUUAGCGAAAUGAUUUUUUUUAUUCUGUUUGUUUCAUAUGGAUACUACAAAAAGUACUUCAAGCUUUGUAUGUACUAAUUAAAAAAAGAAAAAAAUGUCAAGUCUUUAAAAUUUAAAGGUCCUACUCUUUCCUUCAAAUGAAAUUUUUUAUAACUUCAAGGGAAAAAGUUUCACAUUUUUAAAUGUUUCCAAACAUUGUUUAGAAACUAUUAGCUUUAAAUUGCCAUUGAUUUACACAUUUGGUGGAAGACAUUUUUUUCUUCUGAAAUUGAAAAGCACUAAUUAUGGAAACACUUUGACAACCAUUCUAAUGUGACACUACAUGUAGUAAAGAUGCAUCUGUUUCACCAUAAAUUAUCUCACACAAAAAUGCCUGUAAAACACUCAAGUUUUCUAAUAUUCUUUAACCAUUUACACAGUAUAUUUUUGAAAUCGUUUAUGAUUGUUUCAUGUGUAUUUUGUCCAUUACCGAUGUUCAAAUUGUGUUGUCAUUUGGUACUGAAUGUUUGACAUUUUAAGAGCCAAAUUAAUCUUCAAGUCUUAAGUGAGUUGCACUGCACUUUUUAAUCAUAACGGCUAAUCUCGACAAUUUGAAACGUUACGAAAAAAUUUCGUGGUAGAAAAAAAAGAGAAUUUAAUGUUUUUUUGUGCCAAAAUGAGUACGCGUUGAUAACACCAUUGAACGUUAACUUGUGAUUAAAACUAAGUCAGAUUUUUUAUACAAUCCCAGAAAGCACAAUCAGGUCAAUACAAUGGUUAAAUCGUUGGAUAUGUUUUCAUAACGAAAUCCAUUCUGUUUAAUACAUGUAAAAAGAAUUAGUAUUCAGACAUUUGGCCUUCAUUUUUUUAAAACUUGUUUACAUGUACACAUUACAUAUCAAAGCUAAUUAUUUUUCUGCAUUGUCGUCAUUUUAAAACCAAGAAAUUUGGUGACGGUUGUUUUUACUGAAAUUCAUCUCGGGGACUUAAAAAGACAUUGUGCUGGAAAACAACAAUUCACAAGUUAGUAGUAAAGAGUACCACAAUUUUUUUCUCUCCAAAUUGCAUGAAAAUCUAUAAUAAGACUGAUGUAACAUUGAAAAUCGAAUAGCAUUUGUGAAAGUCUAUGGGAGAAAUCCUUUUUAAAAUUGGAAAUGCAAACAAAUUGUACACAUACACUAAUCUACCUCAUUUGUAACCUUGUUUCUUUAUACGUUGCAUUGAGGGAGUUUUUCCUGGUUUUCCCCAAAAGGGUUUUACAGGUUUUUUGACUCCCUAAUGCAACUGCACGGUAAAGAGGCGGAGGAUGAACAAGAAACAAAAAAAUGUUAAAAAUCAGAAGAGAUACACGAAAAGAAUAAAAGAAAUGAAACUUGA